ACACCUGCGUGUAGUGGCCGCACAUCUGGCCUGGGCUGCAGGUGGCGGCGCUGAGGUUGUAGUGCUCACGCUCGUGGUGCCACUCCUCCAUGGCCAGCGGCACGUCCAUGCCCUCGUCUGUGAUGGCGAACAGAUUCUCGCCGCGGCGCCCGCGCUCCUUGUUGUGGCCCCACACGCACUGCCGUGCGUAGGCCUUGGCGAAGGCGGCCAGCUCCUCGUCCCAUCUCUGCAGG
Molecule: long non-coding RNA, 233 nt
Filed under: Homo sapiens (human)
Lineage: Eukaryota; Metazoa; Chordata; Mammalia; Primates; Hominidae
Description: HSALNT0105625
Source: RNAcentral